RNAcentral lists this ribosomal RNA (496 nucleotides) under uncultured bacterium. RNAcentral describes it as "partial 16S ribosomal RNA". It matches the Rfam family "Bacterial small subunit ribosomal RNA", at positions 30 to 523 of the family's 1533-position model. The record is from RNAcentral.
AUUGAACGCUGGCGGAAUGCUUUACACAUGCAAGUCGAACGGUAGAGGGGGCAACCCCUCGAGAGUGGCGAACGGGUGAGUAAUAUAUCGGAACGUGCCCCGUCGUGGGGGAUAACGUAGCGAAAGUUACGCUAAUACCGCAUACGAUCUAAGGAUGAAAGCGGGGGAUCGCAAGACCACGCGCUAUUGAAGCGGCGGAGAUCAGAUUAGGUAGUUGGUGGUGUAAAGGCUCACCAAGCCAACGAUCUGUAGCUGGUCUGAGAGGACGACCAGCCACACUGGAACUGAGACACGGUCCAGACUCCUACGGGAGGCAGCAGUGGGGAAUUUUGGACAAUGGACGCAAGUCUGAUCCAGCCAUUCCGCGUGCAGGAUGAAGGCCCUCGGGUUGUAAACUGCUUUUGUACGGAACGAAAAGGUCUCUCUUAAUACGGGGGGCUCAUGACGGUACCGUAAGAAUAAGCACCGGCUAACUACGUGCCAGCCGCCGCCGUAA